UACGAAGGGGGCUAGCGUUGCUCGGAAUCACUGGGCGUAAAGGGUGCGUAGGCGGGUCUUUUAAGUCAGGGGUGAAAUCCUGGAGCUCAACUCCAGAACUGCCUUUGAUACUGAAGAUCUUGAGUUCGGGAGAGGUGAGUGGAACUGCGAGUGUAGAGGUGAAAUUCGUAGAUAUUCGCAAGAACACCAGUGGCGAAGGCGACUCACUGGCCCGAUACUGACGCUGAGGCGCGAAAGCGUGGGGAGCAAACAGG
This 254-nucleotide ribosomal RNA is filed under the name uncultured bacterium. RNAcentral describes it as "partial 16S ribosomal RNA". It matches the Rfam family "Bacterial small subunit ribosomal RNA", at positions 524 to 776 of the family's 1533-position model. The record is from RNAcentral.